UUGCCUAUAUUUUAACCCUCAUUAUUAGCUAGAAUUCAUGAAAGCAGUGAACAAGAAUGUCGCAGUAUGAUGCCUCAAUGCUGUGACGGGUUAGCACCUGUUAGUAGUUAGUUAACUUACGCAACCAACUCCCCUCCUCCAUCCGCUCGUCCUUGUCAUCGCGACCCCGCUCCGCAUUUGUGUAGUUCCUAACAAUUCCUUCCACAUAACCCUUAAUGAUUCUCAUUGUGAUUCCACUCCACACUUGUGUAGUUUCUAACAAUUCCUCUGCAUAACCCUCAAUGUUCUUCCACUCUGCACUCCACUGUGGUGCGGUUCCUGAUAUUCUUCCAUUCCAAUCUCUUCUCUAUAAGAAUCCUCUUCAUACAAUCUUUUCUUCUGAUCUCUUUUCUCUUUCUUUCUUCAAUGAAUUUGUAAUCUGUAUUUAGAAUAGUGUUUAGUUCAUUAAUCAGUAGUACACUCAUUACAUUACAAAUUGAUUCUUCUGUGUUUAGAUCUGAGUAUCUUGUUAUCAGCUUUCACAACUGAGUGCAUCAUUUACAGAUCUGAGUGUCUAGUUAUUAAUUUCUACAUUCAAGUGCAUCAUUAUAUUAGA
This 595-nucleotide small RNA is filed under the name Histoplasma ohiense. RNAcentral's name for it is "hypothetical lncRNA". Lineage: Eukaryota; Fungi; Ascomycota; Eurotiomycetes; Onygenales; Ajellomycetaceae. The record is from RNAcentral.